CACAGGGACUCAAAAAGAAAAAUAAUAUAUAAUCCCCCAAUUAACAUUAACAACCUUCCUUCACCACCAUCAUUCACCUUCCUUAUUCAAUACCCAACUCGAAACCCUAGCCCUUUAAUCCCCAAAUCCAAGUUGUAUAGUGUAAAAUAAGUUGGGGUUUUUUAUCUAUAUUAAAAACCGAAUCAUUUGAUACCAAUAACACGUAUCGGUUGCGAGUAAAAGAAGAAACAGAAGAAAUCCGGCAAAGUUCUGCAAUUUCGGCAACCAGGAACAACUUUCGGAUAACCACAAUCAAUCUAUCCAAUAUUUGGAAUAUGAGACAAAUCGGAAAUGAACAAGUAUUACUCAAAACAGAGUAUAAAAAAAUCUAUACCCAUGGUGGAGCCGAGAGGACAAUCGGUGCGCCGACGGGAGCCGACUCACUCUCACGAGAUGAUUUGCGCUCCUUCAUGGUGGAGCUGACUCACAUUCUCCGGCGUGUGAAUGUGACGGAAUGAGAAGUGGUGACCGUUAUUACAUUCUCCGGCGUGUGAAUGUGACUCACCUUUGUUAAUUUACCAUUUUAAUUUCUUCACUUCUAAAAUGUAACAAGUACAUAAAAAUUAUUUAAUUUGCUUGCACUUAUAGUUAAAUUAUAUUUUAUA
Molecule: long non-coding RNA, 644 nt
Organism: Helianthus annuus (common sunflower)
Lineage: Eukaryota; Viridiplantae; Streptophyta; Magnoliopsida; Asterales; Asteraceae
Exons: 2
Source: RefSeq, a predicted model, not a curated record